Molecule: ribosomal RNA, 1341 nt
Filed under: uncultured bacterium
Lineage: Bacteria
Description: partial 16S ribosomal RNA
Rfam family: Bacterial small subunit ribosomal RNA
Source: RNAcentral
GACGAACGCUGGCGGCGUGCUUAACACAUGCAAGUCGAACGGAAAGGCCCUGCUUGCAGGGUACUCGAGUGGCGAACGGGUGAGUAACACGUGGGUGAUCUGCCCUGCACUUCGGGAUAAGCCUGGGAAACUGGGUCUAAUACCGGAUAGGAGCCAUUUUUAGUGUGAUGGUUGGAAAGUUUUUUCGGUGUAGGAUGAGCUCGCGGCCUAUCAGCUUGUUGGUGGGGUAAUGGCCUACCAAGGCGGCGACGGGUAGCCGGCCUGAGAGGGUGGACGGCCACAUUGGGACUGAGAUACGGCCCAGACUCCUACGGGAGGCAGCAGUGGGGAAUAUUGCACAAUGGGCGCAAGCCUGAUGCAGCGACGCCGCGUGGGGGAUGACGGCCUUCGGGUUGUAAACUCCUUUCGCUAGGGACGAAGCUUUUUGUGACGGUACCUAGAUAAGAAGCACCGGCUAACUACGUGCCAGCAGCCGCGGUAAUACGUAGGGUGCGAGCGUUGUCCGGAAUUACUGGGCGUAAAGGGCUCGUAGGUGGUUUGUCGCGUCGUCUGUGAAAUUCCGGGGCUUAACUCCGGGCGUGCAGGCGAUACGGGCAUAGCUUGAGUACUGUAGGGGUAACUGGAAUUCCUGGUGUAGCGGUGAAAUGCGCAGAUAUCGGGAGGAACACCGAUGGCGAAGGCAGGUUACUGGGCAGUUACUGACGCUGAGGAGCGAAAGCAUGGGGAUCAAACAGGAUUAGAUACCCUGGUAGUCCACGCCGUAAACGAUGAGUGCUAAGUGUUAGGGGGUUUCCGCCCCUUAGUGCUGCAGCUAACGCAUUAAGCACUCCGCCUGGGGAGUACGACCGCAAGGUUGAAACUCAAAGGAAUUGACGGGGACCCGCACAAGCGGUGGAGCAUGUGGUUUAAUUCGAAGCAACGCGAAGAACCUUACCAAAUCUUGACAUCCUCUGAUCCCUCUAGAGAUAGAGUUUUCCCCUUCGGGGGACAGAGUGACAGGUGGUGCAUGGUUGUCGUCAGCUCGUGUCGUGAGAUGUUGGGUUAAGUCCCGCAACGAGCGCAACCCUUAAGCUUAGUUGCCAUCAUUAAGUUGGGCACUCUAAGUUGACUGCCGGUGACAAACCGGAGGAAGGUGGGGAUGACGUCAAAUCAUCAUGCCCCUUAUGAUUUGGGCUACACACGUGCUACAAUGGACAAUACAAAGGGUAGCAAAACCGCGAGGUCAAGCAAAUCCCAUAAAGUUGUUCUCAGUUCGGAUUGUAGUCUGCAACUCGACUACAUGAAGCUGGAAUCGCUAGUAAUCGUAGAUCAGCAUGCUACGGUGAAUACGUUCCCGGGUCU